RNAcentral lists this transfer RNA (74 nucleotides) under uncultured organism. RNAcentral's name for it is "tRNA-Trp". It matches the Rfam family "tRNA". Rfam says of the family: Transfer RNA (tRNA) molecules are approximately 80 nucleotides in length. Their secondary structure includes four short double-helical elements and three loops (D, anti-codon, and T loops). The record is from RNAcentral.
UGGCAGAUAGCACAAUUGGCAGUGCGCCGGUCUCCAAAACCGGUAUAUGUGGGUUCGACUCCUACUCGGCCAGC